GUGGCCUAGUGGUAGAGCGUCCACCUCGAAUGCGGGAGGUCGCGGUUCGAACCACUGCCAAACCA
This is a non-coding RNA of Potamilus streckersoni, 65 nucleotides long. Lineage: Eukaryota; Metazoa; Mollusca; Bivalvia; Unionida; Unionidae. The record is from the annotation of a GenBank genome assembly.